AGGAUGCCAAACCCACCUCACUUAUUCCAGUGACUCCAGCUGCAACGGAUGGCUUCCAAACAUUUGACCUGGAACCGACCCAGUUCUCGCUUCUGGCUGGACCCCCUGGACUAAAGGGAGAACCAGGACUGCCGGGCCUUCAAGGACUUCCAGGGUUGCCAGGAAAGUCAGGGAAGAGGGGCCCAAGGGGUCCUUCUGGCCCACAUGGAAACCCUGGUCUUCCCGGACCUCCUGGAGUGAAGGGACAAAAAGGAGAUUAUGGACUGUCACCUGGUCAAGCCCCAAAAGG
Molecule: long non-coding RNA, 289 nt
Filed under: Cottoperca gobio
Lineage: Eukaryota; Metazoa; Chordata; Actinopteri; Perciformes; Bovichtidae
Description: lncRNA (ENSCGOG00000018792.1)
Source: RNAcentral